UGGGGUGUGGCUCAGAGGAAGAGUGCUUGCCUAGCAUGUGUGGGGCACUGGGUUCGAUCCUCAGCACCACAU
Molecule: non-coding RNA, 72 nt
Organism: Ictidomys tridecemlineatus (thirteen-lined ground squirrel)
Lineage: Eukaryota; Metazoa; Chordata; Mammalia; Rodentia; Sciuridae
Source: Rfam